AGUGAACGCUGGCGGUAGGCCUAACACAUGCAAGUCGAACGGCAGCACAGGAGAGCUUGCUCUCUGGGUGGCGAGUGGCGGACGGGUGGGGAAUACAUCGGAAUCUACUCUGUCGUGGGGGAUAACGUAGGGAAACUUACGCUAAUACCGCAUACGACCUACGGGUGAAAGCAGGGGACCUUCGGGCCUUGCGCGAUUGAAUGAGCCGAUGUCGGAUUAGCUAGUUGGCGGGGUAAAGGCCCACCAAGGCGACGAUCCGUAGCUGGUCUGAGAGGCUGAUCAGCCACACUGGAACUGAGACACGGUCCAGACUCCGACGGGAGGCAGCAGUGGGGAAUAUUGGACAAUGGGCGCAAGCCUGAUCCAGCAAUACCGCGUGGGUGAAGAAGGCCUUCGGGUUGUAAAGCCCUUUUGUUGGGAAAGAAAUCCAGCUGGCUAAUACCCGGUUGGGAUGACGGUACCCAAAGAAUAAGCACCGGCUAACUUCGUGCCAGCCGCCGCGGUAA
Molecule: ribosomal RNA, 506 nt
Filed under: uncultured bacterium
Lineage: Bacteria
Description: partial 16S ribosomal RNA
Rfam family: Bacterial small subunit ribosomal RNA
Source: RNAcentral